RNAcentral lists this ribosomal RNA (925 nucleotides) under uncultured fungus. RNAcentral's name for it is "eukaryotic LSU rRNA". The stretch from base 277 to 925 matches the Rfam family "Eukaryotic large subunit ribosomal RNA", at positions 1 to 664 of the family's 3401-position model. Lineage: Eukaryota; Fungi. The record is from RNAcentral.
AUCGAUGAAGAACGCAGCGAAAUGCGAUAAGUAAUGUGAAUUGCAGAAUUCAGUGAAUCAUCGAAUCUUUGAACGCACAUUGCGCCCCUUGGUAUUCCGGGGGGCAUGCCUGUUCGAGCGUCAUUUCAACCCUCAAGCUCUGCUUGGUCUUGGGCUCUGCCGGCAACGGCUGGCCUUAAAAUCAGUGGCGGCGCCAUCGAGCUCUACGCGUAGUAAUUAUACCCUCGCGUGUGAGUCCCGGUGGAUGCUGGCCAGCAACCCCCAAUUUUUUAUGGUUGACCUCGAAUCAGGUAGGGAUACCCGCUGAACUUAAGCAUAUCAAUAAGCGGAGGAAAAGAAACCAACAGGGAUUACCUCAGUAACGGCGAGUGAAGCGGUAACAGCUCAAAUUUGAAAUCUGGCUCUUUCAGGGUCCGAGUUGUAAUUUGUAGAAGAUGCUUCGGGUGUGGCUCCGGUCUAAGUUCCUUGGAACAGGACGUCAUAGAGGGUGAGAAUCCCGUAUGUGACUGGCUGCCUCCGCCCAUGUGAAGCUCUUUCGACGAGUCGAGUUGUUUGGGAAUGCAGCUCAAAAUGGGUGGUAAAUUUCAUCUAAAGCUAAAUAUUGGCCAGAGACCGAUAGCGCACAAGUAGAGUGAUCGAAAGAUGAAAAGCACUUUGGAAAGAGAGUUAAACAGUACGUGAAAUUGUUGAAAGGGAAGCGCUUGCAAUCAGACUUGCACGCUGCUGAUCAUCGGAGGUUCUCCUUCGUGCACUCGGUAGCGUUCAGGCCAGCAUCGGUUUGGGUGGUUAGAUAAAGGCCUUGGGAAUGUGGCUUCCUUCGGGGAGUGUUAUAGCCCAGGGUGCAAUGUAGCCUACCUGGACCGAGGACCGCGCUUCGGCUAGGAUGCUGGCGUAAUGGUUGUAAGCGACCCGUCUUGAAACACGG